CACAGACAAGAGAGUUCAAACCUUUAAUAGAAAAAGGCAAUGCGACUUUUGCAAAGUACAGUUAUACAAGAAAUACUUUUGAAUACCAAUUUAUGACAGACGCAACAAACAGAUCUGAGGUUGACUUGGUCUGGACAAAUUCUGACGAGUUUAACGUAAUGAACUUCGACAUUGAUGCCUCCAUAGAUGUCCUAUAUAAUUUUGAUCAUAUUCCACCUGUGCCAAGAUACAUAAGGAAUAUGAAAUUUGGAAUUGUUGACGCGAACGUGUUGGUCAUUCAUUAUAGACUUGGACAAAGUGGCGAGUACGAAGUUAACAAGGAAAGGUUUACUUGCUCACAGCCUUCUGAUCACAACCCAAUAGCUAAUAAAGUUCUGGAAUGUAGGAUGAACAAUGGUACCAAUGUAUUUCAGGUCGAUUCGGGCGACAGAUACGUUCUGAACUACACGGUUACUACAGGCGGGUACAGAGAACUUGUCAAUACAGACAAUGACCAACUUUAUCGUACUGAGAUAUAUGAUGGAGUAAGUUCUUAUCAGCUUAUGGAGUAUCGGUUUGACUACGAUAAACCAGUUCAUUGCCAAGAACUAAAUAAUUGUUCUUCUGGUGAUGUUACACUUCAGCUUGAAGAGGACAUA
Molecule: long non-coding RNA, 638 nt
Organism: Mytilus californianus (California mussel)
Lineage: Eukaryota; Metazoa; Mollusca; Bivalvia; Mytilida; Mytilidae
Exons: 3
Source: RefSeq, a predicted model, not a curated record